Molecule: ribosomal RNA, 253 nt
Filed under: uncultured bacterium
Lineage: Bacteria
Description: partial 16S ribosomal RNA
Rfam family: Bacterial small subunit ribosomal RNA
Source: RNAcentral
UACGGGGGGGGUAAGCGUUGUUCGGAAUUACUGGGCGUAAAGGGUGCGUAGGCGGGUCUUUAAGUCAGGGGUGAAAUCCUGGAGCUCAACUCCAGAACUGCCUUUGAUACUGAGGAUCUUGAGUUCGGGAGAGGUGAGUGGAACUGCGAGUGUAGAGGUGAAAUUCGUAGAUAUUCGCAAGAACACCAGUGGCGAAGGCGGCUCACUGGCCCGAUACUGACGCUGAGGCACGAAAGCGUGGGGAGCAAACAGG